Molecule: ribosomal RNA, 493 nt
Filed under: uncultured bacterium
Lineage: Bacteria
Description: partial 16S ribosomal RNA
Rfam family: Bacterial small subunit ribosomal RNA
Source: RNAcentral
ACGAACGCUGGCGGCGUGCUUAACACAUGCAAGUCGAACGGUGAAGCGCCUUCCUUUUUGGUGGGUGUGGAUGAGUGGCGAACGGGUGAGUAACACGUGAGUAACCUGCCCCCUUCUUCUGGAUAACCGCAUGAAAGUGUGGCUAAUACGGGAUAUUCUGGGUCUGUCGCAUGAUGGGUCUGGGAAAGAUAUUGUUUCGGUGGGGGAUGGGCUCGCGGCCUAUCAGCUUGUUGGUGGGGUGAUGGCCUACCAAGGCGGUGACGGGUAGCCGGCCUGAGAGGGUGGACGGUCGCACUGGGACUGAGACACGGCCCAGACUCCUACGGGAGGCAGCAGUGGGGAAUAUUGCACAAUGGGCGCAAGCCUGAUGCAGCGACGCCGCGUGAGGGAUGGAGGCCUUCGGGUUGUGAACCUCUUUCGCCAGUGAAGCAGGCCUGCCUCGUUUGUGGGUGGGUUGACGGUAGCUGGAUAAGAAGCGCCGGCUAACUACGUG